AGUAUUUUUUUAGAUUCUUUUUUAUUGUUGAAAAAAUUAAAAACCAAUUGUUUUUUCCCAUAAUUAAAAUUUAUAAUAUUUGCAUUUUUAAUUUUUAGUUUCAAACAAAAAUUACAAAUAUGAAAAAUAAAAAAAGUUUGUUAUAAAUUAAAUUAAUUUAUUUAUAUUAAAAAUCUUUCUCAUAAUUUUUAUUUUUUUAUUUUUUUAAAAAAAAAAUAAUUUAACUAUAAUUAUUUAUUUAAAUUUAAUAAUUACAUAUAAAAUUUUUUAUUAAAUAAAUUUAAUAAUAAAUGUUUUUUAAAUUCUUUGAGGUUUUGAUUUUUGAUUUUUUGUUUCUGCUCAUUGUUAAAGAAAAGCCCUUUUAGCGGGAUUGGUCAAAGGUAGCGAGGCAAUUUGUU
RNAcentral lists this ribosomal RNA (398 nucleotides) under Meloidogyne floridensis. RNAcentral's name for it is "partial 16S ribosomal RNA". Lineage: Eukaryota; Metazoa; Nematoda; Chromadorea; Rhabditida; Meloidogynidae. The record is from RNAcentral.